AUGAACGCUGGCGGCGUGCCUAAUACAUGCAAGUCGAGCGAACAGACGAGGAGCUUGCUCCUCUGACGUUAGCGGCGGACGGGUGAGUAACACGUGGAUAACCUACCUAUAAGACUGGGAUAACUUCGGGAAACCGGAGCUAAUACCGGAUAAUAUAUUUAACCGCUUGGUUCAAUAGUGAAAGACGGUUUUGCUGUCACUUAUACAUGGAUCCGCGCCGCAUUAGCUAGUUGGUAAGGUAACGGCUUAUCAAGGCAACGAUGCGUAGCCGACCUGAGAGGGUGAUAGGCCACACUGGAACUGAAACACGGUCAAGACUCCUACGGGAGGCAGCAGUAGGGAAUCUUCCGCAAUGGGCGAAAGCCUGACGGAGCAACGCCGCGUGAGUGAUGAAGGUCUUCGGAUCGUAAAACUCUGUUAUUAGGGAAGAACAAAUGUGUAAGUAACUAUGCACGUCUUGACGGUACCUAAUCAGAAAGCAACGGCUAACUACGUG
RNAcentral lists this ribosomal RNA (496 nucleotides) under uncultured bacterium. RNAcentral's name for it is "partial 16S ribosomal RNA". It matches the Rfam family "Bacterial small subunit ribosomal RNA", at positions 29 to 507 of the family's 1533-position model. The record is from RNAcentral.